This 408-nucleotide ribosomal RNA is filed under the name Bacillus velezensis. Its description in RNAcentral is "partial 23S ribosomal RNA". It matches the Rfam family "Bacterial large subunit ribosomal RNA", at positions 1128 to 1538 of the family's 2925-position model. The record is from RNAcentral. Lineage: Bacteria; Bacillati; Bacillota; Bacilli; Caryophanales; Bacillaceae.
GAGUGCGUAAUAGCUCACUGGUCGAGUGACUCUGCGCCGAAAAUGUACCGGGGCUAAACGUAUCACCGAAGCUGCGGACUGUUCUUCGAACAGUGGUAGGAGAGCGUUCUAAGGGCUGUGAAGCAAGACCGGAAGGACUUGUGGAGCGCUUAGAAGUGAGAAUGCCGGUAUGAGUAGCGAAAGAGGGGUGAGAAUCCCCUCCACCGAAUGCCUAAGGUUUCCUGAGGAAGGCUCGUCCGCUCAGGGUUAGUCGGGACCUAAGCCGAGGCCGAAAGGCGUAGGCGAUGGAUAACAGGUUGAUAUUCCUGUACCACCUCCUCACCAUUUGAGCAAUGGGGGGACGCAGGAGGAUAGGGUAAGCGCGGUAUUGGAUAUCCGCGUCCAAGCAGUUAGGCUGGGAAAUAGGCA